Molecule: transfer RNA, 68 nt
Filed under: Ixodes simplex
Lineage: Eukaryota; Metazoa; Arthropoda; Arachnida; Ixodida; Ixodidae
Description: tRNA-Gln
Source: RNAcentral
UAGUUUUUGGUGUAAAUGCACAAUAAAUUUUGAUUUUAUAGGAAAUAAUUAUUAAUUAUUAAAACUAA